RNAcentral lists this ribosomal RNA (433 nucleotides) under uncultured bacterium. RNAcentral's name for it is "partial 16S ribosomal RNA". It matches the Rfam family "Bacterial small subunit ribosomal RNA", at positions 29 to 507 of the family's 1533-position model. The record is from RNAcentral.
AACGAAUGAUGGAGGAAGGAAGAAAAAAGGAAAGUCGAGCGAGGACUGCGGUCUUAGCGGCGGACGGGUGAGUAACGCGUGGGAACGUGCCUUUUGCUUCGGAAUAGCCCUGGGAAACUGGGAGUAAUACCGGAUGAGCCCUUUGGGGGAAAGAUUUAGCGGCGAAGGAUCGGCCCGCGUUGGAUUAGGUAGUUGGUGGGGUAAUGGCCUCCAAAGCCGUGGAUACAUAGCUGGUUUGAGAGGCUGAUCAGCCACACUGGUACUGAGACACGGUCCGGAAUCCUACGGGAAGCAGGAGUGGGGGAUCUUAGACAAUGGGGUAAGCCCUGAUCUAGCCAUGCCGCGUACUCCCUGUCGGCCUUGGGGUUGUAAAGCUCUUUCAGCUGGGAAGAUAUUGACGGUACCAGCAGAAGAAGCCCCUGCUCCCUCCGUC